UACGUAGGGUGCGAGCGUUAAUCGGAAUUACUGGGCGUAAAGCGCGCGUAGGCGGCUUUGUAAGUUAGAGGUGAAAGCCCGGAGCUCAACUCCGGAACUGCCUUUAAGACUGCAUCGCUAGAAUUGUGGAGAGGUAAGUGGAAUUCCGAGUGUAGAGGUGAAAUUCGUAGAUAUUCGGAAGAACACCAGUGGCGAAGGCGACUUACUGGACACAUAUUGACGCUGAGGUGCGAAAGCGUGGGGAGCAAACAGG
Molecule: ribosomal RNA, 253 nt
Filed under: uncultured prokaryote
Description: partial 16S ribosomal RNA
Rfam family: Bacterial small subunit ribosomal RNA
Source: RNAcentral